Molecule: ribosomal RNA, 879 nt
Filed under: uncultured bacterium
Lineage: Bacteria
Description: bacterial SSU rRNA
Rfam family: Bacterial small subunit ribosomal RNA
Source: RNAcentral
AGAGUUUGAUCCUGGCUCAGAAUCAACGCUGGCGGCGUGCCUAGCACAUGCAAGUCGAAUGAGAAAGUGGGGGCAACUCCAUGAGUAAAGUGGCGACCGGGUGAGUAACACGUGACUAACCUACCUUUGAGUGGGGAAUAUCCUCGGGAAACCGGGGUUAAUACCGCAUAACACCGAGAGGUCAAAGGAGCAAUCCGCUUGAAGAGGGGGUCGCGGCUGAUUAGCUAGUUGGUAGGGUAAUGGCCUACCAAGGCUGUGAUCAGUAUCCGGCCUGAGAGGGCGCACGGACACACUGGAACUGAAACACGGUCCAGACUCCUACGGGAGGCAGCAGUGGGGAAUUUUGCACAAUGGGGGAAACCCUGAUGCAGCAACGCCGCGUGGAGGAUGAAGCCCCUUGGGGCGUAAACUCCUUUCGAUCGGGACGAUUAUGACGGUACCGGAUGAAGAAGCACCGGCUAACUCUGUGCCAGCAGCCGCGGUAAUACAGAGGGUGCAAGCGUUGUUCGGAAUUAUUGGGCGUAAAGGGUGCGUAGGCGGUGCGGUAAGUCUUUUGUGAAAUCUCCGGGCUCAACUCGGAGCCUGCAAGGGAAACUGCCGUGCUGGAGUAUGGGAGAGGUGAGUGGAAUUCCUGGUGUAGCGGUGAAAUGCGUAGAUAUCAGGAGGAACACCUGUGGCGAAAGCGGCUCACUGGACCAUUACUGACGCUGAUGCACGAAAGCUAGGGGAGCAAACAGGAUUAGAUACCCUGGUAGUCCUAGCCCUAAACUAUGAUUGCUUGGUGUAGCGGGUACCCAAUCCCGCCGUGCCGGAGCUAACGCGAUAAGCAAUCCGCCUGGGGAGUACGGUCGCAAGGCUGAAACUCAAAGGAAUUGAUGG